Molecule: ribosomal RNA, 547 nt
Filed under: Raffaelea ellipticospora
Lineage: Eukaryota; Fungi; Ascomycota; Sordariomycetes; Ophiostomatales; Ophiostomataceae
Description: partial 26S ribosomal RNA
Rfam family: Eukaryotic large subunit ribosomal RNA
Source: RNAcentral
CAAUAAGCGGAGGAAAAGAAACCAACAGGGAUUGCCCCAGUAACGGCGAGUGAAGCGGCAGCAGCUCAAAUUUGAAAUCUGGCCCCCCCCGGGGGGGCCCGAGUUGUAAUUUGCAGAGGACGCUUCGGGCGCGGCGCCGGCCGAGUUCCUUGGAACAGGACGCCGUAGAGGGUGAGAGCCCCGUACGGCCGGACGCCUAGCCCGUGCGAAGCUCCUUCGACGAGUCGAGUAGUUUGGGAAUGCUGCUCAAAAUGGGAGGUAAAUUUCUUCUAAAGCUAAAUACCGGCCAGAGACCGAUAGCGCACAAGUAGAGUGAUCGAAAGAUGAAAAGCACUUUGAAAAGAGGGUUAAAGAGUACGUGAAAUUGUUGAAAGGGAAGCGCCUGUGGCCAGACGUGCCGCCCGCGGACCACCUGGCGCCCCCGCGCCAGGGCACGCCGCGGGCGCGCAGGCCAGCAUCGGCUUCCCCGGGGGGACAAAGGGCGCGGGAACGUAGCUCCCCAGGGAGUGUUAUAGACCGCGCCGCCAUGCCUCCGGGGGGGCCGAGG